This 127-nucleotide small RNA is filed under the name Marmota monax (woodchuck). Lineage: Eukaryota; Metazoa; Chordata; Mammalia; Rodentia; Sciuridae. The record is from RNAcentral.
GCUGGGUGUGGUGGCAUAUACCUGUAAUCCCAGUGAUUUGGGAGGCUGAGGCAGAAGGAUCACAAGUUCAAGGCCAGCCUCAGCAAUUUAGCAAGGUCCUGAGCAACUUAGUGAGAUCCUGUCUCAA